GAAACGGUAGCUAAUACCGCAUAACGUCGCAAGACCAAAGAGGGGGACCUUCGGGCCUCUUGCCAUCAGAUGUGCCCAGAUGGGAUUAGCUAGUAGGUGGGGUAACGGCUCACCUAGGCGACGAUCCCUAGCUGGUCUGAGAGGAUGACCAGCCACACUGGAACUGAGACACGGUCCAGACUCCUACGGGAGGGCAGCAGUGGGGAAUAUUGCACAAUGGGCGCAAGCCUGAUGCAGCCAUGCCGCGUGUAUGAAGAAGGCCUUCGGGUUGUAAAGUACUUUCAGCGGGGAGGAAGGUGUUGUGGUUAAUAACCACAGCAAUUGACGUUACCCGCAGAAGAAGCACCGGCUAACUCCGUGCCAGCAGCCGCGGUAAUACGGAGGGUGCAAGCGUUAAUCGGAAUUACUGGGCGUAAAGCGCACGCAGGCGGUCUGUCAAGUCGGAUGUGAAAUCCCCGGGCUCAACCUGGGAACUGCAUUCGAAACUGGCAGGCUAGAGUCUUGUAGAGGGGGGUAGAAUUCCAGGUGUAGCGGUGAAAUGCGUAGAGAUCUGGAGGAAUACCGGUGGCGAAGGCGGCCCCCUGGACAAAGACUGACGCUCAGGUGCGAAAGCGUGGGGAGCAAACAGGAUUAGAUACCCUGGUAGUCCACGCCGUAAACGAUGUCGACUUGGAGGUUGUGCCCUUGAGGCGUGGCUUCCGGAGCUAACGCGUUAAGUCGACCGCCUGGGGAGUACGGCCGCAAGGUUAAAACUCAAAUGAAUUGACGGGGGCCCGCACAAGCGGUGGAGCAUGUGGUUUAAUUCGAUGCAACGCGAAGAACCUUACCUACUCUUGACAUCCAGAGAACUUACCAGAGAUGCAUUGGUGCCUUCGGGAACUCUGAGACAGGUGCUGCAUGGCUGUCGUCAGCUCGUGUUGUGAAAUGUUGGGUUAAGUCCCGCAACGAGCGCAACCCUUAUCCUUUGUUGCCAGCGGUCAGGCCGGGAACUCAAAGGAGACUGCCAGUGAUAAACUGGAGGAAAGGUGGGGAUGACGUCCAGUCAUCAUGGCCCUUACAAGUAGGGCUACACACCUGCUACAAUGGCGCAAACAAAGAAAAACGACCUCCCGAAAACAAGCGGACCUCAUAAAGUGCCUCCUAAUCCGGAUUGGAAUCUGCA
RNAcentral lists this ribosomal RNA (1162 nucleotides) under Enterobacter ludwigii. RNAcentral describes it as "bacterial SSU rRNA". It matches the Rfam family "Bacterial small subunit ribosomal RNA", at positions 153 to 1309 of the family's 1533-position model. Lineage: Bacteria; Pseudomonadati; Pseudomonadota; Gammaproteobacteria; Enterobacterales; Enterobacteriaceae. The record is from RNAcentral.